Molecule: long non-coding RNA, 480 nt
Filed under: Cottoperca gobio
Lineage: Eukaryota; Metazoa; Chordata; Actinopteri; Perciformes; Bovichtidae
Description: lncRNA (ENSCGOG00000011944.1)
Source: RNAcentral
CCCAAUUCAGCCUCAGCUUUCCCCACACAAACCCUAAAUUGUCACUAAAUUGGUAAACACUAGACAGAUGUUUUCAACAAACACUGUCUCUUUUUUUGCACACAUUUUAUACACCAUUAUCACGAACUAGCUGUACAAACAGAAAACUGGAAACUCAGUCAAAACCAACACGGCUUGGUCGACACCCACCCGCCCAGUUCUUGUUGGAGUGGAAACUGCACCACAGUGUGGCCAUGGAGGGGUCCGGACUCAGGGAGAGGGGCAACCUGAUUCCACACUGAUGAAAAAACUUGGCCGUCGGGGAAAACACAACCCCCACCCCUUUGCCAAAGCCACAAGCGAGUCACAGACAUGGAGCAGCAGCAGCAGCAGCAGAUGAUGAUGUUGUGGACGGCCUUCCUGUCUAAGUAAACAGUGAUUCAGACGAGUGAGGAGUGGGAGGCUGUGGUCUGCUUCAGACUGGCAGCACCAGGCCUCACC